UGGGAGCUCCUUUUUGUCGCACAAAAUAGGCUCCUUCACAAGGCAUCGGUGAGUGGGAUGAUAGGAAUAAGUUUUUGAGUUUAAAUUCAAACCUUUUGAAUUCAAUUUAAAACAAACCUAAUCCACUUCAAAGAGGAUGACAAAAAGGGGUUUAGCUUCAGGUUUUUUUAUGCACAAAUUGGUUUUGUGCGAUGAGAAAAGGGUGAGUCUUUCUGGGUGGCGCAAGGG
This 228-nucleotide long non-coding RNA is filed under the name Elaeis guineensis (African oil palm). Its description in RNAcentral is "long non-coding RNA (EGUI_LNC062573)". Lineage: Eukaryota; Viridiplantae; Streptophyta; Magnoliopsida; Arecales; Arecaceae. The record is from RNAcentral.